This 1081-nucleotide long non-coding RNA is filed under the name Homo sapiens (human). RNAcentral describes it as "HSALNT0307469". The record is from RNAcentral. Lineage: Eukaryota; Metazoa; Chordata; Mammalia; Primates; Hominidae.
UGGCGGGCGGAGGGCGGAGGCGCGGCGUGCCGCGGGAGCGCGCGCGCCUCGCCAGCUUUCAGGGGAAGAGGGCCUUUGCCGCCGUUCGCGUCAGGGCGAGUUCCGGGACGUCAGUGCGGUCUCCGCCAAUGGUUGCAAGAAAAACUCCUCGGCCCCUCGGACCAUCUUUCCUGUUUCCAAAUGCCGGGGACCAGUGUCUGUGACUGCGCCGCCUGCCUGAGGGCAUGUACUGAAAAGCCCUGCGACUCCAACAUGUGGGACUCACAAGCACCUUGGACAGGCCUCAAAACGCGGCUGACAUACAGAAUUUUUACCAUUAACGACCUGAGGCAGGACUGGUGGAGCUGAAUACAGACAAUAUGGAGGCCUCAGGCUCAGAGGAUGGCAGAGUCUUCAGAUGGAUGGAGGGAGCUGCAGUCACUGAACCACUGCAGGGAGAGAAGUACUCACAGACCAGGAACGCUCAACUUGGACUGUUAUGUGACAGAGUAAUAAUAAACUUCUAUUUUGGUUUGAGUAAUGUUGUGUUUUGGGUUUAUCUGUUUCUGCAAUCUAGCUUACUACCUUAAUGAAUAUAAGCUUUCUUUCCAUUAAAAAAUUUAUUAAUGUAUAAAUCACAUACCAUACAGUUCACUCACUUAAAGUGUACUAUUUAAUGGCUUUUGAUCUAUUUCAUUGUUAAUUUUUAGAAAUUAUGUUAAAGUAUAUAUAACACACAAUUUUUUAUUUUAACUAUUUUUAGAUGUACAAUUCAGUGGCAUUAAUUACAGUCACAAUGUUGGACAACCAUCACCACAAUUUCCAAAAUUUUUCUUAGAUGAAAAUUCUGAAACCAUUAUGCAAUAACUUCCCAUUACCCACUCCUUCCAGCUCCUGGAAAUCUUUAAUUUACUUUCUGUCUCUAUAAAUUCAACUAUUUUAGAUAUUUCAUGUAAGUGGAAUCAUGCAAUAUUUGUCCUUUUGGGCUUGGCUUAUUUUACUUAGUAUAAUGGUUUUAAGAUUCAUGUUGUAGCAUAUAUCAAAAAUUCAUUCCUUUUUAUUAUUGUCUCUCUCUCUGUCCAUAUAUAUAUAUACACAUAUA